Long non-coding RNA from Arvicola amphibius (Eurasian water vole), 852 nucleotides. RefSeq lists it as uncharacterized. The transcript has 3 exons. The record is from RefSeq and is a predicted model, not a curated record. Lineage: Eukaryota; Metazoa; Chordata; Mammalia; Rodentia; Cricetidae.
UUUACUAAGGAAGCCGAGAGGGAAAUACUGGAGGCUGGAUACUCGGCGGGAUGGGGAUGUACUGAAGUUUUAUGUACUUCCACGAGUACACCAGCAUGCAAAUUAUAUGUAAAUAAUUCCUUUGUAUAAGCCACUGAGUUACUGUAAUUGCCAUCAGUGGUUUUUUUCCUCCUCCUUAUCCUACAGGAUUCCCUUCGUUUAUCAGCCGGCGGGACCCAUGCUGGAUGAGAAAGAGAAGGGACCAGAGAGGAGGGCAGUCACCCUCACUUCCCUUUUCCGACUCAUCUUUAAGGACGAUGCCAAGAGUAUGCCCCUGUAGCUUCAGGAAUGGCGCAGUCCAACCGCCUCAAUCUUUCACCGUUAGCAGCACUACUCUGGGCCAAGGUUCUGCUUCCGAGGUCACCCCCAGCUUGGGUAGCCUUUGGCCUCCAGCGUCCAGCUGCAUAGACCUCAAACAGAGGCUGGACAAGCCCGGUUAGGAGAGGAUGCUCUGCAGUGUCUGGAUCCUUCCCUGGUGCUCCCUGAUUUGCAGAAUUGGUACCACCUCCUCUGUUAACCUAGCCUAACCUGACAGUCCUGGCUAGGACCUGACACAUGGAUGACAAGAGACUGACACCUGGUGGAUGAAGACUUGUCCUCGAGAACGUGACACCAGACUGGUGGGUGGGAGAUAUAAUGGUCAAACACAACCCUUGGAGUGCUGGCAGCGGUUAAGUGGUCUGAACUAAGAAUGAUUUUACAUUAGGUGAAGCAAUGAGAAACAUACUGAGCAACAAGAUCAAGCCUCACCUGGAGCCAGUACCGCCUCUUGACUUUCCAAUUUCAUAAACCAAUAAAUAGCUUUUAUCUUGA